CUUGCUGUCACUUAUAGAUGGAUCCGCGCUGCAUUAGCUAGUUGGUAAGGUAACGGCUUACCAAGGCAACGAUGCAUAGCCGACCUGAGAGGGUGAUCGGCCACACUGGAACUGAGACACGGUCCAGACUCCUACGGGAGGCAGCAGUAGGGAAUCUUCCGCAAUGGGCGAAAGCCUGACGGAGCAACGCCGCGUGAGUGAUGAAGGUCUUCGGAUCGUAAAACUCUGUUAUUAGGGAAGAACAUAUGUGUAAGUAACUGUGCACAUCUUGACGGUACCUAAUCAGAAAGCCACGGCUAACUACGUGCCAGCAGCCGCGGUAAUACGUAGGUGGCAAGCGUUAUCCGGAAUUAUUGGGCGUAAAGCGCGCGUAGGCGGUUUUUUAAGUCUGAUGUGAAAGCCCACGGCUCAACCGUGGAGGGUCAUUGGAAACUGGAAAACUUGAGUGCAGAAGAGGAAAGUGGAAUUCCAUGUGUAGCGGUGAAAUGCGCAGAGAUAUGGAGGAACACCAGUGGCGAAGGCGACUUUCUGGUCUGUAACUGACGCUGAUGUGCGAAAGCGUGGGGAUCAAACAGGAUUAGAUACCCUGGUAGUCCACGCCGUAAACGAUGAGUGCUAAGUGUUAGGGGGUUUCCGCCCCUUAGUGCUGCAGCUAACGCAUUAAGCACUCCGCCUGGGGAGUACGACCGCAAGGUUGAAACUCAAAGGAAUUGACGGGGACCCGCACAAGCGGUGGAGCAUGUGGUUUAAUUCGAAGCAACGCGAAGAACCUUACCAAAUCUUGACAUCCUUUGACAACUCUAGAGAUAGAGCCUUCCCCUUCGGGGGACAAAGUGACAGGUGGUGCAUGGUUGUCGUCAGCUCGUGUCGUGAGAUGUUGGGUUAAGUCCCGCAACGAGCGCAACCCUUAAGCUUAGUUGCCAUCAUUAAGUUGGGCACUCUAAGUUGACUGCCGGUGACAAACCGGAGGAAGGUGGGGAUGACGUCAAAUCAUCAUGCCCCUUAUGAUUUGGGCUACACACGUGCUACAAUGGACAAUACAAAGGGCAGCGAAACCGCGAGGUCAAGCAAAUCCCAUAAAGUUGUUCUCAGUUCGGAUUGUAGUCUGCAACUCGACUACAUGAAGCUGGAAUCGCUAGUAAUCGUAGAUCAGCAUGCUACGGUGAAUACGUUCCCGGGUCUUGUACACACCGCCCGUCACACCACGAGAGUUUGUAACACCCGAAGCCGGUGGAGUAACCUUUUAGGAGCUAGCCGUCGAAGGUGGGACAAAUGAUUGGGGUGAAGUCGUAACAAGGUAGCCGUAUCGGAAGGUGCGGCUGGAUCACCUCCUUU
RNAcentral lists this ribosomal RNA (1335 nucleotides) under Staphylococcus aureus. RNAcentral's name for it is "bacterial SSU rRNA". It matches the Rfam family "Bacterial small subunit ribosomal RNA", at positions 208 to 1533 of the family's 1533-position model. The record is from RNAcentral. Lineage: Bacteria; Bacillati; Bacillota; Bacilli; Caryophanales; Staphylococcaceae.